RNAcentral lists this ribosomal RNA (425 nucleotides) under uncultured bacterium. RNAcentral describes it as "partial 16S ribosomal RNA". It matches the Rfam family "Bacterial small subunit ribosomal RNA", at positions 354 to 796 of the family's 1533-position model. The record is from RNAcentral.
GUAAGGAAUAUUGGACAAUGGGGGAAACCCUGAUCCAGCCAUGCCGCGUGAGUGAAGAAGGCCUUCGGGUUGUAAAGCUCUUUCAGAUGUGAAGAUGAUGACGGUAACAUCAGAAGAAGCUCCGGCUAACUUCGUGCCAGCAGCCGCGGUAAUACGAAGGGAGCGAGCGUUGUUCGGAAUCACUGGGCGUAAAGAGUGCGUAGGCGGUUAUACAAGUCAGGAGUGAAAUCCCAGGGCUCAACCCUGGAAUUGCUUUUGAAACUGUAUAGCUAGAGUCCCGGAGGGGUUAAUGGAAUUCCGAGUGUAGAGGUGAAAUUCGCAGAUAUUCGGAGGAACACCAGUGGCGAAGGCGGCUCACUGGCUCGAUACUGACGCUGAGGUGCGAAAGCGUGGGGAGCAAACAGGAUUAGAAACCCGGGUAGUCC